Molecule: ribosomal RNA, 458 nt
Filed under: uncultured bacterium
Lineage: Bacteria
Description: partial 16S ribosomal RNA
Rfam family: Bacterial small subunit ribosomal RNA
Source: RNAcentral
CCUACGGGUGGCAGCAGUGAGGAAUAUUGGUCAAUGGCCGAGAGGCUGAACCAGCCAAGCCGCGUGAGGGAAGACGGCUCUACGGGUUGUAAACCUCUUUUGUCGGGGAGAAAAGCGAACCUAGUGUGGUUCAUUGAGAGUACCCGAAGAAAAGCAUCGGCUAACUCCGUGCCAGCAGCCGCGGUAAUACGGAGGAUGCGAGCGUUAUCCGGAUUCAUUGGGUUUAAAGGGUGCGCAGGCGGAGGUGCAAGUCAGCGGUCAAAUUGCGGGGCUCAACCCCGUACUGCCGUUGAAACUGCAUCCCUAGAGUGCGCGAGAGGUAAGCGGAAUGCGUGGUGUAGCGGUGAAAUGCAUAGAUAUCACGCAGAACUCCAGUUGCGAAGGCAGCAUACCGGCGCGCAACUGACGCUCAUGCACGAAAGCGUGGGUAUCGAACAGGAUUAGAUACCCUUGUAGUC